GAUGAAUGCUGGCGGCGUGCCUAAUACAUGCAAGUCGUGCGGCAGCGCGAGUAGUUUACUACUUGGCGGCGAGCGGCGGACGGCUGAGUAACGCGUGGGAACGUGCCCCAAAGUGAGGGAUAAGCCCGAGAAAUCGGGUCUAAUACCGCAUAUGGUCUUCGGAUUAAAGCUUCGGCGCUUUGGGAGCGGCCCGCGUACGAUUAGAUUGUUGGUGAGGUAAUGGCUCACCAAGUCGACGAUCGUUAGCUGGUCUGAGAGGAUGAUCAGCCAGACUGGAACUGAGACACGGUCCAGACUCCUACGGGAGGCAGCAGUAAGGAAUCUUCCGCAAUGGGGGCAACCCUGAUGGAGCAACGCCGCGUGCAGGAUGAAGGCCCUCGGGUCGUAAACUGCUUUUAUGAGUGAAGAAUAUGACGGUAACUCAUGAAUAAGCACCGGCUAACUACGUGCCAGCAGCCGCGGUCAUACGUAGGGUGCAAGCAUUAUCCGGAGUGACUGGGCGUAAAGAGUUGCGUAGGCGGUUAGUAAAGCGAAUAGUGAAACCUGGUGGCUCAACCAUACAGACUAUUAUUCGAACUCACUAACUCGAGAGUGGUAGAGGUAACUGGAAUUUCUUGUGUAGGAGUGAAAUCCGUAGAUAUAAGAAGGAACACCAAUGGCGUAGGCAGGUUACUGGACCAUUUCUGACGCUAAGGCACGAAAGCGUGGGGAGCGAACGGGAUUAGAUACCCCGGUAGUCCACGCCGUAAACGAUGGAUACUAGCUGUUGGAGGUAUCGACCCCUUCAGUAGCGAAGCUAACGCGUUAAGUAUCCCGCCUGUGGAGUACGGCCGCAAGGCUAAAACAUAAAGGAAUUGACGGGGAUCAGCACA
Molecule: ribosomal RNA, 872 nt
Filed under: uncultured bacterium
Lineage: Bacteria
Description: bacterial SSU rRNA
Rfam family: Bacterial small subunit ribosomal RNA
Source: RNAcentral